GGUUUGAGGAGCCCAAAAUGAUCGGGGCUAAAAUCUAACAACGAGACCUGGCCGUGCCCUUGACAGGGGCAACCGCGUAGGUUGGCGUACUGGUCGGACGGAAGGCCGGGCGAGAGCUCGUGUGGACCGUCCAGUAACGACAAUCCUGGUCACAGUAGCAGCGAUAGUCGGGUGAGAACCUCGACGGCCUGACGAGCAAGGGUUCCUCGGCACUGCCGUUCAGCCGAGGGUUAGCCGGUCCUAAGGUGUACCACAACUUGACUACACCGACGGGAAGCUGGUUAAUAUUCCAGCGCAAUCGUGCAGUAAACGCCGACGCCGUGUGGAACGCUGAGCCGGGAACUCGCCCGGUCGAAUCGUGGAAACUCGUGGACGCCGUCACGGCACGAAGCGAGCGAAACGCGAAACAGCGAAAGUCAGCCGUACAUAGGGC
Molecule: ribosomal RNA, 433 nt
Filed under: Halorubrum ezzemoulense
Lineage: Archaea; Methanobacteriati; Methanobacteriota; Halobacteria; Halobacteriales; Haloferacaceae
Description: partial 23S ribosomal RNA
Rfam family: Archaeal large subunit ribosomal RNA
Source: RNAcentral